GUGUCUAGGUGGAGACCCAAACAGCAAAACUGUACCCUACACAGUUCACCACCAGAGGGCGCAAAAGAACAAAAUCCAGACAUACAGCUUAACAAACAUCAAAUGCAAAAGACCGUUACACUCCCACCAAUCACUUGUGAUUUUAAAGAAUAAAGUAUUGCCUAUGAACUAACGAACGGCUUUUGAAUGAACUAUCAUGAAUUAUCCUUUAAGCAGAGUGCGGUGGAGAAUCUUCUUCCGCUUCCAUCAGAAUGACUGUUUUCUGAAUGGGUCUUUCCAGGUGCACAGGUUUGGAGGAUACACUUCAAUGAUCCUUGCCAACUUCUACUGGUUGCGUGGAGUUAUCUCAUCCUUCAGGAGGACAACAUCAUUGAUCUUAGCAUUUCUGUGCUCUUUGGUCCACUUCUGUCUGCCUUGAAGAUUUAACAAAUACUCCUUUUUCCACCUUGUCCAGAAAGUGUUGGCAAGUAAUUGAACAUGACACCAUCUCUUAUGGAGAUAAAGAUCUUCUUUCACAAACUUUCCUGGAGGUGGAGAGAUGAUUGUGGACUUCAUGGUUAGUAUGUGAUUCGGUGUUAAAGGUUCUGGGUUUGAUGGAUCACAUAGUUGGUCAGUAGUCAAUGGUCUGCUAUUAAUCACUGCCAUGACUUCAUACAGGAAUGUCCUCAAAGAGGAGCUGUCGAGUUGUUUGGCUGAUUGUUCCAGAAUGGACAUGAGAACACUUCUUAUGGGGCGAAUUUGUCUUUCCCAGACACCACCCAUGUGACUAGAUGCUGGGGUGUUCAUGAGAAACUCGCAGUCCAGUUUCCCUAGCUUGGCUUGAUCUAUUUCCUUAAAUGGUCCAAUAAACUCAUUUCUAGUGCCGACAAAAUUCGUGCCUGGAUCGCAUCUUAUCUG
Haplochromis burtoni (Burton's mouthbrooder) is the source of this 897-nucleotide long non-coding RNA. RefSeq lists it as uncharacterized. NCBI's taxonomy places the organism in Eukaryota, Metazoa, Chordata, Actinopteri, Cichliformes, Cichlidae. The transcript has 2 exons. The record is from RefSeq and is a predicted model, not a curated record.